This is a long non-coding RNA of Rhinichthys klamathensis goyatoka, 405 nucleotides long. RefSeq lists it as uncharacterized. The record is from RefSeq and is a predicted model, not a curated record. The transcript has 2 exons. NCBI's taxonomy places the organism in Eukaryota, Metazoa, Chordata, Actinopteri, Cypriniformes, Leuciscidae.
GUGGUGCAUUGUGGGAGUUGUUGUCUUACAUACAAAUGUGCCCUAAAGUUAUUUUCUGUCUUUUCUCGGUCAAGAGGGCACCAAAUUCAAAAUUUCUUUUACAUUUCGACUACAUAUAUGACCCACUUUCAAUAAAGAUUAAUGUUGAAAUGGGUGAAGUGCUCCUUUAAGAGCGCACUCCGAGUCCAAGUCCGAGUCCAAAGAGGGCCGAGUCGGACUUGAGUCCGAGUCCUUAACAUCCGAGUCCGAGUCGAGUCCGGCCGAGUCCACAAAGAUUUAAAUGAUUUGAAAUUGACCUUUCACAAAGAUCCGCCCCUCUUAGUUACUGUUGCUACGUCCGAUAAGCCAUUCAGCUCUCACUUCACAUGUUCUCACACAGUGAAAAAUAUAUUGCGGAGCAAAGAG